AAUGAGCGAAAGCUUGACGCAGCGACACCGCGUGUGGGAUGACGGAUCUAGGUUUGUAAACCACUUUCAGGAGGGAAGAAAAUGACGGUACCUCCACAAGAAGCCCCGGCCAACUACGUGCCAGCAGCCGCGGUAAUACGUAGGGGGCGAGCGUUGUCCGGAUUUAUUGGGCGUAAAGAGCUCGUAGGCGGUUCAACAAGUCGGUCGUGAAAGUUCAGGGCUCAACCCUGAGAUGCGAUCGAUACUGUUGGACUAGGAUACGGUAGAGGUGAGUGGAAUUCCGAGUGUAGCGGUGAAAUGCGUAGAUAUUCGGAGGAACACCAAUUGCGAAGGCAGCUCACUGGGCCGCUAUCGACGCUGAGGAGCGAAAGCUAGGGGAGCAAACAGGAUU
RNAcentral lists this ribosomal RNA (391 nucleotides) under uncultured Actinomycetes bacterium. RNAcentral describes it as "bacterial SSU rRNA". It matches the Rfam family "Bacterial small subunit ribosomal RNA", at positions 370 to 779 of the family's 1533-position model. Lineage: Bacteria; Bacillati; Actinomycetota; Actinomycetes. The record is from RNAcentral.